GGUCUGUUCGCCCUUUAAAAUCUAACAUGAGCUGAGUUCAGAACGGCGUGAGCUAGUUCAGUUUCUAUCCUCUUUUUAAAAUGAGCUAAUUUUGUACGAAAGGACUUUUUCGCUAAAGCAAUGCUUUGUCACAAAUCUGUGGUUGCAUAAAUAAUAGUGUAUAACAGGUUGAUUAGCCUAUAGGAAGGGUUG
Molecule: ribosomal RNA, 192 nt
Filed under: Mytilus trossulus (common blue mussel)
Lineage: Eukaryota; Metazoa; Mollusca; Bivalvia; Mytilida; Mytilidae
Description: partial 16S ribosomal RNA
Source: RNAcentral